RNAcentral lists this ribosomal RNA (395 nucleotides) under uncultured bacterium. RNAcentral's name for it is "bacterial SSU rRNA". It matches the Rfam family "Bacterial small subunit ribosomal RNA", at positions 30 to 429 of the family's 1533-position model. The record is from RNAcentral.
AUUGAACGCUGGCGGCAUGCCUUACACAUGCAAGUCGAACGGUAACGGGCCUUCGGGUGCCGACGAGUGGCGAACGGGUGAGUAAUGCAUCGGAACGUACCUUUCAGUGGGGGAUAACGUAGCGAAAGUUACGCUAAUACCGCAUAUUCUGUGAGCAGGAAAGCAGGGGAUCGCAAGACCUUGCGCUGAUUGAGCGGCCGAUGUCAGAUUAGCUAGUUGGUGAGGUAAAGGCUCACCAAGGCGACGAUCUGUAGCGGGUCUGAGAGGAUGAUCCGCCACACUGGAACUGAGACACGGUCCAGACUCCUACGGGAGGCAGCAGUGGGGAAUUUUGGACAAUGGGGGCAACCCUGAUCCAGCCGUGCCGCGUGAGUGAAGAAGGCCUCGGUUGUAAG